Molecule: non-coding RNA, 114 nt
Organism: Acanthosepion pharaonis
Lineage: Eukaryota; Metazoa; Mollusca; Cephalopoda; Sepiida; Sepiidae
Source: the annotation of a GenBank genome assembly
UUACGGCCACAUCAUGGUGAAACACCAACUCCCGUAAGAUCACUGAAAUUAAGCAACGUCGAGCUUGGUCAGUACCUAGAUGGGUGACAGCUUGGGAAUACCGAGUGAUGUAAG